GUAAACAAUAUUUUGUAAACUUUUGAUAAUAAUAAUUAAAAAAAAAAAAAGCACGCCCGAUCUCGGAAGCUAAGCAGGGUCGGGCCUGGUUAGUACUUGGAUGGGAGACCGCCUGGGAAUACCAGGUGCUGUAAGCU
Molecule: ribosomal RNA, 137 nt
Filed under: Sinocyclocheilus rhinocerous
Lineage: Eukaryota; Metazoa; Chordata; Actinopteri; Cypriniformes; Cyprinidae
Source: RNAcentral